Molecule: ribosomal RNA, 468 nt
Filed under: uncultured bacterium
Lineage: Bacteria
Description: partial 16S ribosomal RNA
Rfam family: Bacterial small subunit ribosomal RNA
Source: RNAcentral
GAUGAACGCUGGCGGCGUGCUUAACACAUGCAAGUCGAACGGAAAGGCUCCUGCUUGCGGGGGUACUCGAGUGGCGAACGGGUGAGUAACACGUGGGUGAUCUGCCCUGUACUUCGGGAUAAGCUUGGGAAACUGGGUCUAAUACCGGAUAGGACAACUUUUUGGAUAUUGUUGUGGAAAGCUUUUGCGGUAUGGGAUGAGCUCGCGGCCUAUCAGCUUGUUGGUGGGGUAAUGGCCUACCAAGGCGUCGACGGGUAGCCGGCCUGGGAGGGUGUACGGCCACAUUGGGACUGAGAUACGGCCCAGACUCCUACAGGAGGCAGCAGUGGGGAAUAUUGCACAAUGGGCGCAAGCCUGAUGCAGCGACGCCGCGUGGGGGAUGAAGGCCUUAGGGUUGUAAACUCCUUUCGCUAGGGACGAAGCUUUUUUGUGACGGUACCUGGAGAAGAAGCACCGGCUAACUACGUG